CAAUAGCGUAUAUUAAAGUUGUUGCAGUUAAAAAGCUCGUAGUUGGAUUUCUGGUAGGAGCGACCGAGCCGAACUUGAUUGUUCGAGUAUUGUGUUGUCUUCAGCCAUCCUCGUGGGGAACCUUUCUAACAUUAACUUGUUGGGAUUGGGACCCGCGUCGUUUACUGUGAAAAAAUUAGAGUGUUUAAAGCAGGCAUUAGCUUGAAUACAUUAGCAUGGAAUAAUAAGAUAGGACUUUGGUACUAUUUUGUUGGUUUGCAUACCAAAUUAAUGAUCAACAGGAACAGUUUGAGGAUAUUCGUAUGAACAUGUCAGAGGUGAAAUUCUUGGAUUUUGAUCAGACGAACUACUGCGAAAGCAUUUAUCAAGGAUGUUUUCAUUAA
This 383-nucleotide ribosomal RNA is filed under the name uncultured eukaryote. RNAcentral's name for it is "partial 18S ribosomal RNA". It matches the Rfam family "Eukaryotic small subunit ribosomal RNA", at positions 592 to 976 of the family's 1831-position model. The record is from RNAcentral.